Molecule: ribosomal RNA, 788 nt
Filed under: uncultured archaeon
Lineage: Archaea
Description: bacterial SSU rRNA
Rfam family: Archaeal small subunit ribosomal RNA
Source: RNAcentral
ACGGCUCAGUAACACGUAGUCAACAUGCCCAGGGGACGUGGAUAGCCUCGGGAAACUGAGGAUAAACCGCGAUAGGUCAUCACUUCUGGAAUGGGUAAUGACUUAAAUCUAUAUGGCCCCUGGAUUGGACUGCGGCCGAUCAGGCUGUUGGUGAGGUAAUGGCCCACCAAACCUGUAACCGGUACGGGCUCUGAGAGGAGGAGCCCGGAGAUGGGCACUGAGACAAGGGCCCAGGCCCUAUGGGGCGCAGCAGGCGCGAAACCUCUGCAAUAGGCGAAAGCUUGACAGGGUUACUCUGAGUGAUUUCCGUUAAGGAGAUCUUUUGGCACCUCUAAAAAUGGUGCAGAAUAAGGGGUGGGCAAGUCUGGUGUCAGCCGCCGCGGUAAUACCAGCACCCCGAGUGGUCGGGACGUUUAUUGGGCCUAAAGCAUCCGUAGCCGGUUCUACAAGUCUUCCGUUAAAUCCACCUGCUUAACAGAUGGGCUGCGGAAGAUACUAUAGAGCUAGGAGGCGGGAGAGGCAAGCGGUACUCGAUGGGUAGGGGUAAAAUCCGUUGAUCCAUUGAAGACCACCAGUGGCGAAGGCGGCUUGCCAGAACGCGCUCGACGGUGAGGGAUGAAAGCUGGGGGAGCAAACCGGAUUAGAUACCCGGGUAGUCCCAGCUGUAAACGAUGCAGACUCGGUGAUGAGUUGGCUUAUUGCUAACUCAGUGCCGCAGGGAAGCCGUUAAGUUUGCCGCCUGGGGAGUACGGUCGCAAGACUGAAACUUAAAGGAAUUGGCGGGGGAG